Molecule: ribosomal RNA, 373 nt
Filed under: uncultured Methylobacterium sp.
Lineage: Bacteria; Pseudomonadati; Pseudomonadota; Alphaproteobacteria; Hyphomicrobiales; Methylobacteriaceae
Description: bacterial SSU rRNA
Rfam family: Bacterial small subunit ribosomal RNA
Source: RNAcentral
UACGAAGGGGGCUAGCGUUGCUCGGAAUCACUGGGCGUAAAGGGCGCGUAGGCGGCCGAUUAAGUCGGGGGUGAAAGCCUGUGGCUCAACCACAGAAUUGCCUUCGAUACUGGUUGGCUUGAGACCGGAAGAGGACAGCGGAACUGCGAGUGUAGAGGUGAAAUUCGUAGAUAUUCGCAAGAACACCAGUGGCGAAGGCGGCUGUCUGGUCCGGUUCUGACGCUGAGGCGCGAAAGCGUGGGGAGCAAACAGGAUUAGAUACCAUGGUAGUCCACGCCGUAAACGAUGAAUGCCAGCCGUUGGCCUGCUUGCAGGUCAGUGGCGCCGCUAACGCAUUAAGCAUUCCGCCUGGGGAGUACGUCGCAAGAUUAAA